GUUUUUAUGGCCCGUUGGUCAAGUGGUUAAGACACCACCCUUUCACGGUGGUAUCAUGGGUUCGAAUCCCGUACGGGUCA
RNAcentral lists this transfer RNA (80 nucleotides) under Ligilactobacillus equi DPC 6820. Its description in RNAcentral is "Lactobacillus equi DPC 6820 tRNA-Arg". It matches the Rfam family "tRNA". From Rfam's summary of the family: Transfer RNA (tRNA) molecules are approximately 80 nucleotides in length. Lineage: Bacteria; Bacillati; Bacillota; Bacilli; Lactobacillales; Lactobacillaceae. The record is from RNAcentral.